RNAcentral lists this transfer RNA (74 nucleotides) under Candidatus Yonathbacteria bacterium RBG_16_43_6. Its description in RNAcentral is "tRNA-Gly". It matches the Rfam family "tRNA". Rfam says of the family: Transfer RNA (tRNA) molecules are approximately 80 nucleotides in length. Their secondary structure includes four short double-helical elements and three loops (D, anti-codon, and T loops). Lineage: Bacteria; Candidatus Yonathiibacteriota. The record is from RNAcentral. RNAcentral also lists the same sequence under 2 other names.
GCGGGAUUAGUUUAUUGGUAAAACAUCAGUUUUCCAAACUGAGGUGGGGAGUUCGAUUCUCCCAUCCCGCACAA